UAUCAUAUGUCUACCAAUAAUCAAAAAUUGAAGGUGAAAAAGGUUGGAUAUGGAAGCAGGGAGGUCACCGUUGUAAGUUAUGGCAAGAUAUCGUAGACAAACUAGUUUGAAAAUUUCAGUUGGGAUAUGGUAAAAUCGGACAUUAAUAGCAUGUAGUACCUUGAGCAACUUGAAACCCAUGGCAUGUAUUGGCAGUGGAUAUGGGUGAUAAGGACCAUAGCAAAGGAGAGAACGGACAAUGGAUGCACAAUCACUUCUUAUCGAAUCACACACUUGUUUGAAGCAGAAUAAACUGUUCCAAUGGGCACACAAGCGGCGUUGGUCUUUUAUAACAUCGUCACAACUUUGUAAGACAUGCAGAAACUUGACCCUACUAGCUUCUUCCCUACACACGUGCUGCCAGCAAGAAUGCACACGAUACUUGCUAUACCAAUAGUCAUCAUCAUGUGAUGUGUCGAGAACAAGAUGAUACCACAUACAAAGCUUGCCCAAGCAUGUCUGCCAAAAAUAUUCAAAACUUUCUUCUCCACUAGGUUGAAGAAACAUAUCAGCACUCAACGUAGCGUUGAGCGUGGUUAGUUCAAUAUCCAUAUAUGGACAGUAAGCUCCCAUGUAGAGAAAUAACAUUUUUAAAUAUUGGGGUAAGUAAUCAUAGCUUGGGUAAAGUACCUCUGAUAUUUGAUUAUAUGCAUCUAGGAAGACUGGACUAUGUUGUUUGACGAGUACCUCAGUCCAGUAUUCUGGGGUCUUGUCGGCUUUUGAUAGGAGCUCUGCAACCGUGAUUAUCAUAAGAGGAAGACCUUCACAUUUCUUGGCAAUCUUCUCUCCGAGUUUCUCAAGUUGAGGAGGGAAACCCUCUUCACCAAAAACCUUCUCACCAAGUAGUUCCUUACUUUCUUCUCUAUUCAACAAACCUACUCUUUGGAACCCAUCCUCUGCUAUGCCUGGUAUAUCUUGUCUACUUGUAAUUAAGAAUCGAAUCCUUCCAACAAUAUUCAUUUUUGUCAAGUGAUUUGCUGCUUGUAUCUCCCAAAUAUCAUCCAACACGAUGAGACAUUUCUUAUCCUUCAAUGUUUCUUCCAAUAGUACAACUAAUACCUCCUCCUCAACUCCUUGGGUAAGCAUUUUGUACGUGUUGGGAUCCACUUGAGCUAGAACACAUCGUAAUAGUUCAUUAGAUUCACAUUUUCUGCCCACUUUGACCCAUGCUCGAAACUCAAAAUGGCUCCGAAUUGAUGGAUCUUCAAAAAUAUGCUUAGCAAGAGUUGUCUUUCCAACGCCCGCCAUCCCAAUAAUCGAAUAGUUUUUAUCUUCAAGAAGAUCAUCUCUGGCUUUUCGAAACUCAUCAGAUAAUCCAACCAUCUUUGACUUGAUUCCACCAAAAUCGAUUCUUGAGGAAAUAGGUUCACCUUCUUCUUCUGGCAUAUUCUCCAUUUCAUAAGUGUAUUCCUCCUCCAUCUUCUUCAUCUUCUCGACGAAGCAAUCAACAUGGUGUUGCAGACUCUGCAGCUCUACAGAGAAUGACAAGUUGUCCCUCUCGCUGUCGAGUUGUGGAAGAAUCUGAGGUAAGACAUGGGAUUCGAGUAAAUCUUCAAAUUCCCAAAUUGCCUCUUUGAUUCGUUCAUCCGCAGCAUUCACCUUCGUCCUGAUCUUGCUGCAGCUGGUCUCGUCCAAUUUGAGCAGAACAUUCUGCAAGCGAUCCACCUCGUCGUAGGCAGGUAGUAAGAUCUGUGGAGAGGGGGAAAUGCAAAACAAUUGUAGAAUACAGUGAAUCGUAUUCUUGAGAAAAGUCACUGCACCAUAAUCAGCUGAGGGUAGUAUUUGUGGAGAGUGGGAAACGAGAGAAAUGCGAGACGAUUGUAGAAUACGCUCAAUCGUAUUCUUCAGAGAAUCCGCCGCACCAUAAGCCGCCAUAUCCAAAUAAUCUGCUGAUCGUUGAAAUAAAAUUGCUUCCACAAACUUAGCUCAGAAAUUUUCUUCCAAAACUGUGUGGUAGAAAUCGCCUAAGAAAGAAACGGAGAAUUAUAAUAAGCAAACUGAGAUGAAACAAAUUAAUGAUAGAUGAUCUUUAGCUCUGUGCUGUACCUCUCGUGGAGGAGUUGGCACAAGUCAACGGCGGCGGCGGCGGCAGCUGGUUUUGAUACAAUCUCAGAAACAUUCAAGAAUUUUAGUAAAUGAUUUUGAUACGAUGGUAAAAUGGAUGUAUUGAUGAUUUUGAAGGCAAAUUAAGGUGUGGAAGAAUAAUUACAGGGAAGAUUAAUUAUGAAGAUUGAGCAGUUGAUCAAGCGCGUUGAAAAUUAUAACAGCGGCAAGCAAUCUAACUCAUAAAUAAUGACAAUUUGACAUUUUUACAUAAUUUAAAAUUUUGAAAUAAAUAAAUAUAUUGUGUCUAGUAGUGUACAUUAAAUAAAAAUACUGAUAAAUUUCAAACAUUAAUUUUCUACAUUGUUAGAGGUGUAACUCUGUUUAAUUUAUUUGGAUUAUCGAGUUUGACAUGAAUUUUUACUUAGAUUAGCUUAUCUUUUGAAAAGUUUGAUCAUUUAUAUUUACAUGCAAUUCAUCCAAUUUUUUACUUAUAAAUUAUAUGUCAAACAAAAUUGGAUUUUGGGUGGUUGCAUAUAUAGUCCCUAAUAAAUAAUUUUAACCUUAUAACUCCCUAUUGAAAAAUUAUACUAUUAUAAACAAAUUCUGCUUAUACUAAAUUAUUCAUGAAGCUAACAAAUUUAGGAAUUUGAAAGCUCCUUGUGUUUUGGAUUGCUGGAGUUUGCAUCGAGGUGAUUAGGCACUUUCGUUCUUUUUGGGCUUACGAUUUUUAGUUCGGCCCAUGUUUUCCUUUUUCUUUAGAAUUCUGUUUGGGCUUUGGAUCCUUUAUCGGCCCUUUUAGUUUAUUAGGUGGUGUUGUUUUUUUUUUUUUUGAGGCGGUGUUGCAUGUUGUUUCAAGGGCUUUAUGUUUUAUUUUUCGAUUAAUAUUUAAUUUAAGUAAUUAAUAUCCUUUUUUAAGGGAUUUAACUAAACCGGUAAACUUAAUUUUAAUAAGUAACAGAAUAUAAAUUUUAGCGUGAGUUCGAUUAGACAUGAGAGGUGAUGUAGGAUCAAUCUCAAUAUAUCAUUUGCAAAAGAGAUGGUAAACAAACACAAUAAACAAGCAAUCAAUCUCAGAGAAAUUGAAACAGAAAUAAGUUAAUCGUGGAUUUAAUUCAAUCUGCUCUGGUCUGAUUCUAACACCUUGUUUGAUCCUCAUAUGAAAAUCUAUCUGUAAAGCCGGUUUCUCUGUCUUUUGAGUCUAACCAACUAAUUCCAAGUUCAUUUUGAAAUAUGAAGCCAGAAAUUAACUACUAUACUAGCCAGAAUACUGAGAUUUUUAAGACUAUUAAACAAACAAAUCAACUGAUUACACACAAAUGUCAAAACAAAGUGAAAAUCAUGCAUCACAACUAAUGCUUUCACACAAAUCCAACUUACAACAAUUUCGGUAACAAACUGCAUACACAAUUCAGCAUUCAGGUUUCAUAAUCCCCAACAAAAUCCAAAUCAAGUUACAAAUCCUUAAAUUCAGACGACAAGGUGAUACAAUCUACAUUAUGGGAUAACGCAACGUCUGACCCCUUCAGCUCUCCCAUUUGCCUGAAAAGUGACAGAACUAUGACUAUAACAGAAGAUAUAUAUUUAUGACAUGAAUUGAUUUGGUUUGUAUGUGAAAAAAGAGAAGAAGUAGGGAAGAAACAUUAAGACGUGAUAUAUAUUGCAAAGUAGUGAGACUAACCUGUCAGACAAGUUGCUAAUUCACUUGAGCUCAAAAGAAGAUUCGACGAUAAGUUUGAAGGAAAACUUAUCUUUCAACUGAUUGGCACAAGCCACAGCUAAAGGAUUGCACUCCACUAAUUCAAUGGUCCUGAUCGAAGACUGAUCAUCCGGCAAAUCGAGCUGUUGCAAUUUGUAGCAGUGCUCCAUCCUUAGUGUACGAAGGUUCAAGAGGCUUCCACGUUGAGGUCUCCAUUGCACCAAAUCGGUGUCUUUAAUUACAAGUUCAAUAAGUUUCAAGAAACUCCCCGGUUUUAUUUCCCACUCUGGGCCUCGAAAGGCAUAGCAUUCUAAUCGGAGAUACUUGAGAUUUGGAAGCCGCGAACCAAUGUCAUUUAGAGACCCCCAGGGAUAUCCAACGCCAAUCAAUUCUAAAAAAGUGAGACUUGAUGGGAACAUUGAAAGAUGAAAAAUAGUAGGAAACUCACGCUUUAUCUCGGGAUUCGUGAUUCUAUAGCAAAGUGUUCUCAAAUUCUGGAGUUUUGAUAUAUAACUCAAAGAACUCAAUGGGUUGGUUUCAUGAUCAUCAUCAAAAGGCUUCAACUCCACUUGAAUCGUUAAUUCCUUUAAAUUAGGAAUUCUUUUGAGAACUUCCCUUGUACAACUGUUUUCACUCACACCAUAAAGUCUGAGGAGCUUGUUCAAGGUAACAUCAUCAGUGUUAGGGGUUGGUAGUUCCCUUCCCCAUAUCUCAAGAUGCUCUAAUUCUUCAAUGUCCCAAAUUUGCAUAGGCACAAAAGACUGAACUCCGCGCUUUUUAAUGAUCAUAUGUCUACCAAUACUCAAGAAUUGAAGGUGAAAAAGGUUGGAUAUUGAAGCAGGGAGGUCACCGUUGUAAGUUAUGGCAAGAAAUCGCAGACAAACUAGUUUGAAAAUUUCAGUUGAGAUAUGGUAAAAUCGGACAUCAUCAGCAUAUAAUACCCUGAGCAACUUGAAUCCCAUGGCAUGUAUUGGGAUUGGAUAUGGGUGAUAAGGACCGUAAAAAAGGAGAGAACGGACAGUGGAUGCACAAUCACUUUUUAUCGAAUCACAUACUUGUUUGAAGCAUAAUAAACUGUUCCAAUGGGCACACAACCGACGCUGGUCUUUUAUAACAUCAUCACAACUUUGUACGACAUGCAGAAACUUGAUCCUACUAGCUUCUACCCUACACACAUGCUGCCAACAAGAAUGCACGUGAUAUUUUCUAUGCCAAAACCAAUAUUCAUCCUCCUGUGAUGUGUCGAGAACAAGAUGAUAACACAGAGAAAGAUUUUCCAAGCAUGUCUUCCAAAAAUUAUCAAAACUUUCUUCUCCACUCGGUUGAAGAAACACAUCAGCACUCAUCAUAGCGUUGAGCAAGCUUACGUUGAUAUCCAAAUAUGGACGGAAAGCUCCCAUGUAGAGGAAACACAUUUUUAAAUAUUGGGGUAAGUAGUCAUAGCUUGGGAAAAGUACCUCUGAUAUUUGAUUAUAUGCAACCACGAAGACUGAACUACGUUGUUUGACGAGCACCUCAGUCCAGUAUUCCGGGGUCUUGUCGGCUUUUGAUAGGAGCUCUGCAACCGUGACAAUCAUAAGAGGAAGACCUUCACAUUUCUUGGCAAUCUUCUCUCCCAGUUCCUCAAGUUGAGGAGGGAAACCCUCUUCACCAAACACCUUCUCACCAAGUAAUUCCUUACUUUCUUUCUCAUUCAACAAGCGCACUCUUUCGUACCCAUGCUGCGUGACUAUUAUAUCUUUUCUACUUGUAAGUAAGACUCGAAUAUUUCCAUCAAUAUUCUUUUCUAGUAAGAAAUUUGUGAUCAAGCGAUCUGUUGCUUGUCCCUCCCAAACAUCAUCCAACACGACGAGACAUUUCUUAUGCUUCAAUUUUUCUUCAAUAGUCCAACUAAUACCUCCUCAUCAUCAUCUCCUUGGUAAGUGUUUGGUAAGCGUUGGGAUCCACUUGAGCUAGAACACAUCGUAAUAGUUCAUUAGAUUCACAUUUUCUGCCCACUUUCACCCAUGCUCGAAACUCAAAAUGGCUCCGAAUUGAUGGAUCUUCAAAAAUAUGCUUAGCAAGAGUUGUCUUUCCAACGCCCGCCAUCCCAAUAAUCGUAUAGCUUUUAUCUGCAAGAAGAACAUCUCUGGCUUUUUGAAAUUCAUCAGAUAAUCCAACCAUCUUUGACUUGAUUCCACCAAAAUCAAUUCUUGAGGAAAUAGGCUCGCCUUCUUCUUCAGCCAUAUUCUCCAUUUCAAUGAUGAACUCCAUCUCCAUCAUCUUCACCAUCUCGAUGAAGCAAUCAACACGGUGUUGUAGACUCUGCAGCUCUACAGGGAAUGACAAGCUGCCUCUCUCGCUAUCGAGUUGUGGAAGAAUCUGAUGUAAGACAUGAGAUUCGAGUAAAUCUUCAAACUCCCAAACUGCCUCUUUGAUUCGUUCAUCCACAACAUUCACCUUCGUCCUGAUCUUGCUGCAGCUGGUGUUGUCCAAUCUUAGCAGAACUAUCUGCAAGUGAUCCAUCUGGUCGUAGGCAGGUUGCAAGAUUUGUGGAGAGUGGGAAUCGAGAGAAAUGCGAGAUGAUUGUGGAAUACGCUGAAUGGUAUUCUUGAGAGAAGCCGCCGCACCAUAAGCCGCCAUAUCCAAAUAAUC
RNAcentral lists this long non-coding RNA (6415 nucleotides) under Salvia miltiorrhiza (redroot sage). RNAcentral's name for it is "long non-coding RNA (SMIL_LNC002551)". Lineage: Eukaryota; Viridiplantae; Streptophyta; Magnoliopsida; Lamiales; Lamiaceae. The record is from RNAcentral.